AGAGUUUGAUCAUGGCUCAGGACGAACGCUGGCGGCGUGCCUAACACAUGCAAGUCGAGCGGGGAUAUAUGCUGGAGCGCUUCGGUGUGAAGGGAUAUAUCCUAGCGGCGGACGGGUGAGUAACGCGUGGGGAACCUGCCCUUAAGUUCGGGAUACCAACUCGAAAGGGUUGUUAAUACCGGAUGUGCUGCAUUAGCCGCAUGGCGGAUGUAGUAAAGGGGAGACCCGCUUAAGGAUGGCCCUGCGUUCCAUUAGCUAGUUGGUGGGGUAACGGCCUACCAAGGCGACGAUGGAUAGCCGGCCUGAGAGGGCGACCGGCCACACUGGGACUGAGACACGGCCCAGACUCCUACGGGGGGCAGCAGUGGGGAAUCUUGCACAAUGGGCGGAAGCCUGAUGCAGCGACGCCGCGUGAGGGACGAAGGUCUUCGGAUCGUAAACCUCUGUCCAAAGGGACGAAGGAGUGACGGUACCUUUGGAGGAAGCCCCGGCCAACUACGUGCCAGCAGCCGCGGUAAGACGUAGGGGGCGAGCGUUGUCCGGAAUCAUUGGGCGUAAAGGGCGCGUAGGCGGUGACGUAAGUCAGGCGUGAAAGGCAUCGGCUCAACCGACGCACAUAGCCUGAUACUACGUUGCUUGAGUGCAGGAGAGGAGGGUGGAAUUCCCGGUGGAGCGGUGAUAUGCGUAGAUAUCGGGAGGAACACCGGUGGCGAAGGCGACCUUCUGGCCUGUUACUGACGCUGAGGCGCGAAAGCCGGGGGAGCAAACAGGAUUAGAUACCCUGGUAGUCCCGGCCGUAAACGCUGGGUACUAGGUGUAGGGGGCUUUGAUGCCUUCUGUGCCGUAGUUAACGCAUUAAGUACCCCGCCUGGGGAGUACGAUCGCAAGGUUGAAACUCAAAGGAAUUGACGG
Molecule: ribosomal RNA, 912 nt
Filed under: uncultured bacterium
Lineage: Bacteria
Description: bacterial SSU rRNA
Rfam family: Bacterial small subunit ribosomal RNA
Source: RNAcentral